AGCGAACGCUGGCGGCAGGCUUAACACAUGCAAGUCGAGCGGGCAUCUUCGGAUGUCAGCGGCAGACGGGUGAGUAACACGUGGGAACGUACCCUUCGGUUCGGAACAACUCUGGGAAACUGGAGCUAAUACCGGAUACGCCCUUAUGGGGAAAGGUUUACUGCCGAAGGAUCGGCCCGCGUCUGAUUAGCUGGUUGGUGGGGUAACGGCCUACCAAGGCGACGAUCAGUAGCUGGUCUGAGAGGAUGAUCAGCCACACUGGGACUGAGAUACGGCCCAGACUCCUACGGGAGGCAGCAGUGGGGAAUAUUGGACAAUGGGCGCAAGCCUGAUCCAGCCAGGCCGGGUGAGUGAUGAAGGCCUUAGGGUUGUAAAGCUCUUUUGUCCGGGACGAUAAUGACGGUACCGGAAGAAUAAGCCCCGGCUAACUUCGUG
Molecule: ribosomal RNA, 435 nt
Filed under: uncultured bacterium
Lineage: Bacteria
Description: partial 16S ribosomal RNA
Rfam family: Bacterial small subunit ribosomal RNA
Source: RNAcentral